GGGGAUGUAGCUCAGUGGUAUAGCGCAUGCUUCACAUGUAUGAGACCCUGGGUUCAAUUCCCAGCUUCUCCA
Pseudophryne corroboree (corroboree frog) is the source of this 72-nucleotide non-coding RNA. Lineage: Eukaryota; Metazoa; Chordata; Amphibia; Anura; Myobatrachidae. The record is from the annotation of a RefSeq genome assembly.